ACGAACGCUGGCGGCAUGCCUAACACAUGCAAGUCGAACGAGACCUUCGGGUCUAGUGGCGCACGGGUGCGUAACGCGUGGGAACCUGCCCUUAGGUUCGGAAUAACUCCCCGAAAGGGGUGCUAAUACCGGAUAAUGUCUUCGGACCAAAGAUUUAUCGCCUUUGGAUGGGCCCGCGUUGGAUUAGCUAGCUGGUAGGGUAAAAGCCUACCAAGGCGACGAUCCAUAGCUGGUCUGAGAGGAUGAUCAGCCACACUGGGACUGAGACACGGCCCAGACUCCUACGGGAGGCAGCAGUGGGGAAUAUUGGACAAUGGGCGAAAGCCUGAUCCAGCAAUGCCGCGUGAGUGAUGAAGGCCUUAGGGUUGUAAAGCUCUUUUACCCGGGAUGAUAAUGACAGUACCGGGAGAAUAAGCUCCGGCUAACUCCGUG
Molecule: ribosomal RNA, 432 nt
Filed under: uncultured bacterium
Lineage: Bacteria
Description: partial 16S ribosomal RNA
Rfam family: Bacterial small subunit ribosomal RNA
Source: RNAcentral